Molecule: ribosomal RNA, 500 nt
Filed under: uncultured bacterium
Lineage: Bacteria
Description: bacterial SSU rRNA
Rfam family: Bacterial small subunit ribosomal RNA
Source: RNAcentral
GGCGACGAUCGGUAGCUGGUCUGAGAGGAUGAUCAGCCACACUGGAACUGAGACACGGUCCAGACUCCUACGGGAGGCAGCAGUAGGGAAUUUUUCACAAUGGGGGCAACCCUGAUGGAGCGACGCCGCGUGCAGGAUGAAGGCCUUCGGGUUGUAAACUGCUUUUCUCUGUGACGAAUAUGACGGUAGCAGAGGAAUAAGGAUCGGCUAACUCCGUGCCAGCAGCCGCGGUCACACGGAGGAUCCGAGCGUUAUCCGGAAUGACUGGGCGUAAAGAGUUGCGUAGGCGGUUUGUUAAGCGGGAUGUGAAAUCCCCAGGCUCAACCUGGGAACUGCAUUUCGAACUGGCAGACUUGAGAAUGGAAGAGGUCACUGGAAUUCCCGGUGUAGGAGUGAAAUCCGUAGAUAUCGGGAGGAACACCAAUGGCGUAGGCAGGUGACUGGUCCAUUUCUGACGCUGAGGCACGAAAGCUAGAGGAGCGAAUGGGAUUAGAUACCCC